Molecule: ribosomal RNA, 366 nt
Filed under: uncultured eukaryote
Lineage: Eukaryota
Description: SSU rRNA
Rfam family: Eukaryotic small subunit ribosomal RNA
Source: RNAcentral
AGCUCCAAUAGCGUAUAUUAAAGUUGUUGCAGUUAAAAAGCUCGUAGUUGGACUUUAGGCGAGGUGGCCUGGUCUGCCGUCAGGCAGUACUGGGUUCGCCAAGCCUCACCUUCGGGGAACUAGUGCCUCGUGCGCUAGGGAACCGAGCCUUACUUUGAGAAAAUUAGAGUGUUUAAAGCAGGCUUACGCUUGAAUACUUCAGCAUGGAAUAACAACAUAGGACUUUGGUUCUAUUUUGUUGGUUUGAGGACCAAAGUAAUGAUUAAUAGGGACAGUUGGGGGCAUUAGUAUUCAGUAGUCAGAGGUGAAAUUCUUGGAUUUACUGAGGACUAACUAAUGCGAAAGCAUUUGCCAAGGAUGUUUUCA